RNAcentral lists this unclassified non-coding RNA (223 nucleotides) under Hevea brasiliensis (rubber tree). Lineage: Eukaryota; Viridiplantae; Streptophyta; Magnoliopsida; Malpighiales; Euphorbiaceae. The record is from RNAcentral.
UCUGGGUAUUGUUGUUUGUCUUUGCUUUUUGUUCUGCCAUUUGUUCUACUUCUUACGACGAUUGUUUUGCUGAAUUUGUGGUCUUGUUGUUGUGUUUUUUGGCUUGCACUUUGCUGUUUGUGCCCUUUAGGGUGUAAGGGAUAUGCCGAUCGACAUGGGUUUGGUAUCUAGGCCUCAGCUUAGUAAUUUUCGAUGUUUUAUUUUUAAUUAUCAAGAAAUCUUU